Non-coding RNA from Hypoxylon fragiforme, 88 nucleotides. NCBI's taxonomy places the organism in Eukaryota, Fungi, Ascomycota, Sordariomycetes, Xylariales, Hypoxylaceae. The record is from the annotation of a RefSeq genome assembly.
GGGCCUGUAACUCAGUGGUAGAGUGCUCGCUUCGCAAUCCCAUCGUAAUAUCUGCGAGAAGUCUAGGGUUCGACUCCCUACUGGUCCA